Molecule: ribosomal RNA, 399 nt
Filed under: uncultured bacterium
Lineage: Bacteria
Description: bacterial SSU rRNA
Rfam family: Bacterial small subunit ribosomal RNA
Source: RNAcentral
GAGCGGGCACUUUCGGGUGUCAGCGGCAGACGGGUGAGUAACACGUGGGAACGUACCCUUUGGUUCGGAAUAACGCUGGGAAACUAGCGCUAAUACCGGAUACGCCCUUUUGGGGAAAGGCUUGCUGCCGAAGGAUCGGCCCGCGUCUGAUUAGCUAGUUGGUGGGGUAAUGGCCUACCAAGGCGACGAUCAGUAGCUGGUCUGAGAGGAUGAUCAGCCACACUGGGACUGAGACACGGCCCAAACUCCUACGGGAGGCAGCAGUGGGGAAUAUUGGACAAUGGGCGCAAGCCUGAUCCAGCCAUGCCGCGUGAGUGAUGAAGGCCUUAGGGUUGUAAAGCUCUUUUGUCCGGGACGAUAAUGACGGUACCGGAAGAAUAAGCCCCGGCUAACUUCGUG